This 419-nucleotide ribosomal RNA is filed under the name bacterium. RNAcentral describes it as "partial 16S ribosomal RNA". It matches the Rfam family "Bacterial small subunit ribosomal RNA", at positions 355 to 776 of the family's 1533-position model. The record is from RNAcentral.
UGGGGGAUAUUGCACAAUGGGCGAAAGCCUGAUGCAGCGACGCCGCGUGGGGGAUGAAGGCCUUCGGGUUGUAAACUUCUUUUGCUCUGAACAAGGCAUGCUAAUGGGUGUGUUGAGUGUAGGGGUUGAUUAGCGCCGGCUAACUACGUGCCAGCAGCCGCGGUAAUACGUAGGGCGCGAGCGUUGUCCGGAAUUAUUGGGCGUAAAGGGCUUGUAGGUGGCUGGUUGCGUCUGUCGUGAAAGCUCAUGGCUUAACUGUGGGUUUGCGGUGGGUACGGGCUGGCUUGAGUGCAGUAGGGGAGGCUGGAAUUCCUGGUGUAGCGGUGGAAUUCGCAGAUAUCAGGAGGAAUACCGGUGGCGAAGGCGGGUCUCUGGGCUGUUACUGACACUGAGGAGCGAAAGCAUGGGGAGCGAACAGG